GAUGAACGCUAGCGGCAGGCCUAACACAUGCGAGUCGAGGGAGAAGCCUUUCGGGGCAGAAACCGGCGCACGGGUGCGUAACGCGUAUGCAACCUACCUUUCACAGGGGGAUAGCCCGAAGAAAUUUGGAUUAAUACCCCAUAAUAUUGUUGGAUGGCAUCAUCUGAUAAUUAAAACUGCGGUGGUGAAAGAUGGGCAUGCGUCCUAUUAGCUAGUUGGAGUGGUAACGGCACCCCAAGGCUACGAUAGGUAGGGGUCCUGAGAGGGAGAUCCCCCACACUGGUACUGAGACAGGGACCAGACUCCUACGGGAGGCAGCAGUGAGGAAUAUUGGUCAAUGGUCGGAAGACUGAACCAGCCAUGCCGCGUGCAGGAAGAAUGCCUUAUGGGUUGUAAACUGCUUUUAUAUGGGAAGAAUAAGGUGUACGUGUACAUUGAUGACGGUACCAUAUGAAUAAGCAUCGGCUAACUCCGUG
RNAcentral lists this ribosomal RNA (476 nucleotides) under uncultured bacterium. RNAcentral's name for it is "partial 16S ribosomal RNA". It matches the Rfam family "Bacterial small subunit ribosomal RNA", at positions 28 to 507 of the family's 1533-position model. The record is from RNAcentral.